GAUGAAGAACGUAGCGAAAUGCGAUAAGUAGUGUGAAUUGCAGAAUUCAGUGAAUCAUCGAAUCUUUGAACGCACAUUGCGCCCUUUGGUAUUCCUUAGGGCAUGCCUAUUCGAGCGUCAUUAUCACCCCUCAAGCCUAGCUUGGUGUUGAGGCCUGCUGUCAAGGCAGCCUCUAAAAUCAGUGGCAGUGCUGUCAGGCUCUAAGCGUAGUAAAUCUAAUCGCUAUAGACACCUGGUGGACACUCGCCAGAACCCCCCCAUUUUUUAAUGAUUGACCUCGGAUUAGGUAGGGAUACCCGCUGAACUUAAGCAUAUCAAUAAGCGGAGGA
Molecule: unclassified non-coding RNA, 329 nt
Filed under: soil metagenome
Description: partial contains 5.8S ribosomal RNA, internal transcribed spacer 2, and large subunit ribosomal RNA
Rfam family: 5.8S ribosomal RNA (bases 1-120)
Source: RNAcentral